Molecule: long non-coding RNA, 447 nt
Organism: Poeciliopsis prolifica (blackstripe livebearer)
Lineage: Eukaryota; Metazoa; Chordata; Actinopteri; Cyprinodontiformes; Poeciliidae
Exons: 4
Source: RefSeq, a predicted model, not a curated record
GUCACUUCCUCCUUCACCACCCUGUUCCUGGCUGCCAUGGCAGAAGGUGGACUGAUGGCGGCUGAAUAUUUUCUGUGCUGCUGAAAUGUUAACUUCCAUUCUGUACAGUGACAUGACUGAGAUGCUGGAAGAACUUCAAGGCCGUGCCACAGAUAUUCAUCACAAAUCUUAUUACAGAGGAUGGCAUUUUCCUGCCACAGGCGGAGACCCAAGGUCAGUGGAGGUCUGACGGGACGUUGAUGAAUGGAUGUGAAGGGUGUCAUCCUGGAUAAACAGCGCCCGGGCCCACAUGCUGCUACAUCCUGAAAAAUACGUCUGUUCCACCAGCAGCCCAGGGAAAUAGUUUGGAGGUUUCACACAUCCUUUCGAUUGCUCACUCUGUCUUUCUCUCUGCGUGGAACGUACAUCAUUCCCCGUGUACGAAAAUAAAAGUCAAAAAAUAACACA